GAGGGGGGGUGCCCCUCUGCAGGGCGCCGUGGGUAGCGCAUUGGGGACUGUGUGAGGCUGGGGGAGGAAGGGUGAAGUCCUGGGAGAGCGGCAGGAGGGUGUUUAAGGGAUAAUCAAUCAGUUAAUAAAUAAAUAAGCGCAAAGCUGCCGUCGCCUCAACGCAGCGAGGCUGCCCCCCGGCUGAGGGAGCCGCCGUCCCGCCUCAUGGUGGGGGCGGGCAGCACCUGAGGGGUCUGUGUGAGGAUGGGGGAGAAGGAGCGAAGGCCUCGGAGAGCAGGAGGGCGUUUAAAAAUAAAUCAAUACAUCAAUAAAUAAAUCAAUAAGCACAAAGGUGCCGUCACCUCAGCGAGGCUGCCCCCAGCUGAGGGAGCCGCCGUCCCCUCAGCCCGCCCGCGCGACCCGGGGCGCCGUGAGCUCCCCUCACGAACGCCGCCGGAGCCUCCUGGGGCUCUGCUACCCGGUGAGGAGACUGAGGGAGAAAAGUUUUUCCCUGCGUCUAUUUUUUACUUUUUUUUUUUUUUUGCAACUCGGGGGUGGCAGGAUACGAAGGGGAGGCGGCUGCGAAGCGGGGAGCCGAGCAGCAGGACGAGCCGGGCCCGGGGGAGCCGCGCCGCCUCUCCCUGGUUACCGACCCGCGAGUGGGCGGCCGCCUUUGUUUCCAGGCACGGGCUUGGAGAGAAACGCCGCGGCAUUUCCGAACCUGAGGGGGGAAAUACAAGGCCAGGGGUGAGAAAAUAAUGUUUUCCCAGCACUGUUUGAUGCUGGGAGCUGGAAAACAUUCGACGGUACUACCGAAAACACGUAAUUUUAAGGACAGAAAACUGCCUCACUGACACCGAGUAUUUAUUUAAGUGCCGCACGAUCUCUCGGUGAGCCCUGCCCCUUAGAUAAAGCUGGAAAAGGAAGUCUCAAACUGUUCUAAAUUGCCAAAUAAUUUUGAUGAAAUUAGUAUGAUUUGAGGGAGCAAAAUGGUACGCUCCGUAGUCCAGAAUGCUGUUUUUUUAACUCAGAAGUCAAUCGUUGGACAAACAGGUAGAAGAUGCCUGGCUGCUGCCAUCCUUGGUUAAAUUUGGGCAACCUGUUCCACAGCGCUCACCGGUACAGUCCCCUGCCACCCAGCCUGCUGAAGAGUUGCCUGUUGUGGAUGUGUCAUUGCAGCAAGAGCCAGCUGGCAUGUCAGCAUUUCCAUUGCAAACCUAUUUUUAAAGAGUAUCUCAUCUCACCCGUGUCCAUGACUGUAUGGAUAUCAGAUCUCCUUUGGUGUGCAAUUUUCAGAACUGCAUGAAUGCUCCAGACCAGCCAACUUACACAUCUCAGAAGUUGUAUGCUAUCAAACCAAAGCCUGCUUACAGUGAAGUUAAAGACCCAGCGUCCUAUCUCUGGCCAAGAAAGCAGAUGCCAGACAGAAAAUACGAACAGGCUACAGAUAAACCCGUGUGCCCAUUUAACACUGAGAAAUGGCAUUUUUCAAGCAAGGCGUAUGCUUAGCUGAGCGCAGAACUGGCACAAGGCACCUGCAGAGGCAUUACAAAGUUAGGAUUUCAGUGGGACAAACGUGCUGGAUUCUCUCUCUGUAGAGGAGAAUAUUUUGCCGUAAAGUUUUUCUCAUAAAAGACUUUUCUUUCAUAAAGCAUCACGCUGAGUGCUCAGAAUUUCCUUCCGACUCCCCUCGAGUCACGCUGACAGAGCUGCAUAACCCACAGAUCGACGCAGAAAGCCCAGGGGAAAUGAAAAUUGUCCUUCCUUGUUUGUUCGACUGUUUGUUGAACAUUAAUCCAGCACUCCUGGCUUUUUCCAAAGUUGUUCUGAGACUCUGGGAAUGCUUGUUUUAAUGCUAUUGACACGUCAAAGCGACACCUACAUCUCAUUAUACUCUAUACAGCUGGAAAAAAGAGAGAUCACCUGCAAAACGCCUUGGCUGCUGAACCAGCAUUUUACCAAACACUGCCUCCAAAGAGGGUGAUUCACUCGCACAGGUUGGUGGUUCAGUCUGAACAGCACCUGCCAAAACUGCUGCCAAUGCAUUUCACUUCAGAAUCGUUUAAAUAUUUGCGAGGAACAAGGGCUUCUCCAUGGCAUCAGCUUCUCCAUGGCUUGGACACCUCCACCUCUCUCCUUUUCCCAUCAGUGACAUGAGGGACACCAGGCCCAAAUCCUGCCUGAGCAGCCCGCCGUGUUCACCACCUCAGUGGAGAGGUUUGAGAGGCAUCAUUUCACUAUCAAAUCCUUCUCACUUUGGGAAGGGUUAAUUUGGAGAACAUUGCAGCUUCUUGCUCUGUGUGUGGGUGAGUGUGGGGGUUUCUGUUUUGUUUUUGAGCAGGAAAUCAUAUUUUGAGCUUUUACUGAGGGCCUUAACCCCCCAAACGGCAAGCAUGUUGAUUGGCCCUAAUGCAGUCCCAAGCUCUUCUGUGUUUUUUUCUCCAUCCCACUCUCUAUGUAAAUCAUCUUUCUUCUGCUUUGUCUCCGUAGCCUGCAAUCCCUCUCAAUUUUUGUUUUAAUUUCUUAUCGAGUGUACUGAAAAUUAUUAAGCACAUUGAGUGCUACCGAGUCAGCUGUUUUGCCUCCAGACUGUCCAUCUUUCAGCUGGCAUCGAUUUCACAGAGAGCUGCUAAAACCUUUUUGCAUGGCCCUCCAGAUUUCCUGAGAGAUUCAAAGUCUUCAGGGACCUCGAGAGCUCCAGUCUGACACGUGGGUUAUUAUAAUCCUGGGGUGGUGUAUCCAGAAAGCUCUCAGAAACAGCAUCUGGGCAAGGGCUGCUUCAGCCAGGCUGUUCCUCUGCUGCAGUCAGCAUCAGCUCCCAACCAGCACCACACAACACUGCUCCACAGCUCCCAGCUGGUUCUUGCAAGAGCCCCUCAGAAGCUAAAAUUCUGCCUUUUACUACAAAUUUAAACACACAUUUACAAGCUCUGAUUAUAUUUGAAUGACUAAUACCUUGAAGGAGUCACCAAAGAGGCGUAAAUUAGAGUUAUCAGGUCAGAUCUUGGACAGAGGCGGUUGGUACAACCCUGUUUAUUUCCCAGCAUGAGGUGAAUCAGUUCAAGAUCUCUUUCCUUAAACUAAGACGUACUUUUAGAAAAAACACUCAUCAUUUUGAAAUUGUUAGGAUAUGGAAAACAAUAUGCAACCCAACAUCAGCACCAUGUAAGUGUACAAACAGCCUGCAAAACUCCUCCUGGUCAGGAGUUUUACUAACUGAUCUAAUUUCUUCUUUUAAUUACUGUAUUGCUUUUAAUACAAAUUAUUACUUUGUGCACACACUUUAUUUUUACAUGUAAUACAGUUCUAAAAGGUUUUAUCUUUUUUUUCCCCUUAUUGAGCCCAAAUCACCUGUUAUUAUGUCCCACUGAUAUACCUACAGGCCACGUCAUCAAAGCAGCAUGGACACAAACAGCACCAGGACUUGUACCGAGGAUGCUGCACCUUCCUGGUGUGUGCCAGGCUGAAUUUGUGCAGUCCUGGGUGACACGCUUAUGUUCGGGUGGCUUCUCCAACCAUAUUUCUAUUUUACAGUGUGAAUUUCACUUCAGCAUCAGAACUGACUUGUCCAUGUUUUCAGCAGUGCAUUGGAGCAUUUUGGUGUUACUCAAUAGUUUUUCUUACUCCAUCUCAACAAGAAGUGCUGGUAAGGGACAGGCAUCAGGUAAUGGUUUUGCCUCUUAGCUGUUAAAUGCUGACUGCUGCCUCUUUUGAAGGCAGCAGUGAAGAUGAUGCCCCCUGAUUCCUUUUGCACAUCUCCCCCAGUUUCUUCCCUUGCCCCGCUGCCGUAGCCCUUUGGUGCCACCCCAGAAGGGCAGAUGGGAGAGGGAACAGCAGCAAUGCCCAAGGUCAGCUCUGACCAAACCCCAGCAAGGAGGCUCCUGAUGUUUGGUUCCAAGUUCCUGCCACUCUUUCUUUCUCCUCCGAGGUCUGUACAUGUGUACUGCCAUCUGGUACAUCUGCAGCCUUUCUCCAUUUACCAUGAACACAAAGCAAAGGCUUCACCUCCUUCGUGGUGCUCCAUCUUUGCUGUCAGUAAGCUGCUCUUCCUUCCACAAGUCCAUUCAUGUACGCAAACCCUUUCUUAGACUGCAUUUGCACGUCUCAUGUAGUUGUUCUUUUUUUUAAAGGCUUCUCUUUCUCAUUAUGCAUUUACACUGAUGUCCAUUGGUUAAAUCUGGUUUUGUUACCCGCAGUUCCCAGCUGGUUUGGCUGUUUGCUUAUGGUCCCUGUGUGGUCUCCUGCAGGUACUUACACCCAAGAGACAGAUAUGAUGAGAAUUUGAGUGAUCUUGGAACCAGGCUUUAAAUUCAAACCUAAAUGACGAUGGUCACAAGCCUUUGUUUUAUCUCCAUUCUUAAUACACUUUACAACUUGUCUUUGCCUCAGAACAAGGGAGGAAAACUGCAUUGCCUAAGCUUUGCUCAUGCCAGACCUCAGGAUUUCAACAAGGGCAGCUUGAUGCCCUUGAGAAUCACAAAGGUAUGAGAAUUACAAAGCAGAGAGGACAGGAAAUCUCCCUUCCUCCAAACUGAACCUUGCUCCUGCACCAGCAGAGCCAGCUUGAGGAGUGACUGCAUCCCCAAGACCAACAGCCAGCACGUCUAAGCUGCUUUUGGCACCACAUCUGAGGAGGUGGGAGGCCAUCCCAUCACCAUUAGAAGCCCCUAAGAGAGCCGUGGAGGCCAGGCAGUGACACCGGGCUCUGCACAGUGUCAGGUGGGGAAGACAACGAGGGACCACAAUGUUUCCCCCAGAAACAGCAAAUAAUAUGGAUCUUGCCGAGCUGGUCACUGCCCCUGCGUUUUUAAGAAAAAUCUGAAAUUAAUCUUUCAUAACUGCAUGUGGUCAGGAUGUUAAUUUGAGCUCUACCCAAGAACCAGAGUGCAGGAGAUAAAGCAGCAACUCGAAGGCUGUGCUGAGAUGUUGACGGAGCCGUGACUCACAGAGGUGCCACCCACCGAACCUCCAGCAGCCUCCUUGGAUGAGAAGCAGCAGCUACACACGCUUCCCUUCCCCUGUAUCCAGCUUCAAUUCACACAGAGACCUAUGAGUCUGUGUAUAUAUAUACACACACACACAUUAUACAUCGACAUUUAAAUAUAAUAUACUGCCAGAGUUAUGAUUUUUUAAAUAUCUGAAGGAUGUGGUAUCUUGGAAACCAAUUGCUUCGAGCUGCCCAAAUCAAUUACAGAGUGAAUCAACACAUCGCCUCGGCGUGGGAGAAGCGAGCAGCCGGUGCUGCCGCCGGCCCCGUCCCAGGGGCUGCGGGGCUCUGGCAGCCCCUGGUGCCCCCAUUCCCCUGGUGCUGCACCCAGAGCACCAGCCACGGGGGCUGCAGGCACGGAGCCAGCAGCUG
Molecule: long non-coding RNA, 5338 nt
Organism: Anas platyrhynchos (mallard)
Lineage: Eukaryota; Metazoa; Chordata; Aves; Anseriformes; Anatidae
Source: RefSeq, a predicted model, not a curated record